UGUUAAUUUUAAGCCGUUGACUGUCCG
RNAcentral lists this non-coding RNA (27 nucleotides) under Bombyx mori (domestic silkworm). The record is from RNAcentral. Lineage: Eukaryota; Metazoa; Arthropoda; Insecta; Lepidoptera; Bombycidae.